CAAGAAAUAGUUUAUUAAAAAUAUUAACUUUGGGAGUUAGUGACAAAGAGAUUUCUUUUUUCUUGA
RNAcentral lists this transfer RNA (66 nucleotides) under Culex annulirostris. Its description in RNAcentral is "tRNA-Pro". RNAcentral also lists the same sequence under 2 other names. The record is from RNAcentral. Lineage: Eukaryota; Metazoa; Arthropoda; Insecta; Diptera; Culicidae.